RNAcentral lists this ribosomal RNA (439 nucleotides) under uncultured bacterium. Its description in RNAcentral is "partial 16S ribosomal RNA". It matches the Rfam family "Bacterial small subunit ribosomal RNA", at positions 339 to 795 of the family's 1533-position model. The record is from RNAcentral.
CUACGGGAUGCUGCAGUGAGGAAUAUUGCACAAUGGGGGGAACCCUGAUGCAGCAACGCCGCGUGGAGGAUGACGCAUUUCGGUGUGUAAACUCCUUUUAUGAGUCAAGAAAAUGACGGUAGCUCAUGAAUAAGCACCGGCUAACUCCGUGCCAGCAGCCGCGGUAAUACGGAGGGUGCAAGCGUUACUCGGAAUCACUGGGCGUAAAGGACGCGUAGGCGGGUUGUCAAGUCAGGUGUGAAAUCCUACAGCUUAACUGUAGAACUGCACUUGAAACUGGCAGCCUAGAGUAUGGGAGGGGGAGAUGGAAUUAGUGGUGUAGGGGUAAAAUCCGUAGAUAUCACUAGGAAUACCUAAAGCGAAGGCGAUCUCCUGGAACAUUACUGACGCUAAGGCGUGAAAGCGUGGGGAGCAAACAGGAUUAGAUACCCCAGUAGUC